RNAcentral lists this small nuclear RNA (18 nucleotides) under Arabidopsis thaliana (thale cress). RNAcentral describes it as "snRNA_03590". The record is from RNAcentral. Lineage: Eukaryota; Viridiplantae; Streptophyta; Magnoliopsida; Brassicales; Brassicaceae.
GGAGGGAAGCGGAUGGGG